RNAcentral lists this ribosomal RNA (450 nucleotides) under uncultured bacterium. Its description in RNAcentral is "partial 16S ribosomal RNA". It matches the Rfam family "Bacterial small subunit ribosomal RNA", at positions 354 to 796 of the family's 1533-position model. The record is from RNAcentral.
GUGGGGAAUAUUGGACAAUGGGCGAAAGCCUGAUCCAGCCAUGCCGCGUGUGUGAAGAAGGUCUUCGGAUUGUAAAGCACUUUAAGUUGGGAGGAAGGGCAGUAAGUUAAUACCUUGCUGUUUUGACGUUACCGACAGAAUAAGCACCGGCUAACUUCGUGCCAGCAGCCGCGGUAAUACGAAGGGUGCAAGCGUUAAUCGGAAUUACUGGGCGUAAAGCGCGCGUAGGUGGUUCAGUAAGUUGGAAGUGAAAUCCCCGGGCUCAACCUGGGAACUGCCUCCAAAACUACUGAGCUAGAGUACGGUAGAGGGUAGUGGAAUUUCCUGUGUAGCGGUGAAAUGCGUAGAUAUAGGAAGGAACACCAGUGGCGAAGGCGACUACCUGGACUGAUACUGACACUGAGGUGCGAAAGCGUGGGGAGCAAACAGGAUUAGAAACCCCGGUAGUCC